Molecule: long non-coding RNA, 625 nt
Organism: Cyprinus carpio (common carp)
Lineage: Eukaryota; Metazoa; Chordata; Actinopteri; Cypriniformes; Cyprinidae
Source: Ensembl
AUGAAGAUCAUCCAGCUUCAGAUCUAUCUGUUCAUGUGGUCUCAAGCCACAGAGAGUCUAACAAACACAGCAGUAACUUUAGGAGCUGAUGUGAUUAUAAGCUGUGAUCUUGAUAUAGAGGAGAUUUACUGGUACAAACAGAAAUCACCGGAUCCUCCAUGUCAUUCUGCCUGCAUAAAACUGGCUAAUAUCUGUCUUAAAAUUAAAUGGAAUAAAAAUGUAAAUUUUUACAGAUUUUGUCAACAAGAAUCAGACAGAUUUAGUUCCCCGAGACCAGAAACCGUGGCUGAUUGUUACCAUCAUCACAUCUGUCCUGAGUGUUUUUGUGAUCUUUGCAGUAAUAGGUUUGAUAAAGAGCUGUGCAAACUCCACUAAAGCAUGUGAAGAAAAGACCAAUAGAGACAUGAAUGAGCCACAGUUUGCUGAAGUGGUUCUGUUGAAGCAUUUCAGUGGCAGCAGCUCUUGUCUCACCGUGUGCAGCUUCUCUCUUCUACAGUCAGUAACUGAUGAACAAGGUUCAGAAGAGACAGAAAAGUGUUAUUAAAUGCCAUUUCAUUUGUGUUUUGAAAACCUGAUGCUGUGAAUACAUUUUCUUUGUAAAAUAAAGUGGGACUUCUGUUGAGCA